UUCUACGACCAUGCCACCAUGAACAAGCCCGAUGUCUGAUCUCGGAAGCUAAGCAGGGUCGGGCCUGGUUAGUACUUGGAUGGGAGACCACCUAGGAAGACCAGGUGCUGUAGGCA
Molecule: ribosomal RNA, 116 nt
Filed under: Pteropus alecto (black flying fox)
Lineage: Eukaryota; Metazoa; Chordata; Mammalia; Chiroptera; Pteropodidae
Source: RNAcentral